This 467-nucleotide ribosomal RNA is filed under the name uncultured bacterium. RNAcentral's name for it is "partial 16S ribosomal RNA". It matches the Rfam family "Bacterial small subunit ribosomal RNA", at positions 28 to 507 of the family's 1533-position model. The record is from RNAcentral.
GAUGAACGCUGGCGGUGUGCUCAACACAUGCAAGCCGAACGGCGAAGCAGAGCUUGCUCUGUGUAUCAGUGGCGUACGGGUGCGUAACACGUGAGUACCUUCCCUCUCACCCUGGGCUAUGCCCCGGAAACGGCGGCUAAUACUGGUUAUGAGCUCCGACUGCAUGGUCAGUUGUUGGAAAGAUGCUUCGGUUUGGGAUGGGCGCGCGGCCUACCAGCUUGUUGGUGAGGUUAUGGCUCAUCAAGGCUUCGACGGGUAGCCGGCCUGGGAGGGUGACCGGCCACGAUGGGACUGAGACACGCCCCAGCCUCCUUCGUGGGGCAGCAGUGAGGUAUAUUGCACAGUGGGCGAAAGCCUGACGCAGCCACGCCGCGUGAGGGAUAACGGCCUUCGAGGUGUAAACCUCUUUUAGCAGAGAAGAAGCGAAAGUGACGGUACCUGCAGAGAAAGCGCCGGCUAACUACGUG